Molecule: long non-coding RNA, 384 nt
Organism: Anguilla rostrata (American eel)
Lineage: Eukaryota; Metazoa; Chordata; Actinopteri; Anguilliformes; Anguillidae
Exons: 3
Source: RefSeq, a predicted model, not a curated record
UCAGCCCUGACUAAGAAGACAAGCCCCGAUAACAAUAUUGUCAAGGCUCUGUUGGUUUUCUGGUUCAAAUCCUUGUUCACGCUGUUUGCUGAGUACUUAUCUGCUGUGACAGCCUUCAGACACACAGAGAGCCCUGAAAGAGGUCUUCCACAAGCAGAUCCUUCCUGCUGGGCAGUGGCUGAAAUGGCCUUUUCAGCCUCCAUCAAGUGGAGCUUGAGGUUUUGAGCCAGACCCUGGGACCCCUUCACUGAGGAAGGGAUGUGGACACAGUUUGUCUGGAAGUAUUACAUACAGCUCUUUGUCCCAUCUGCAGGUGCCUAUGAAAGCACCCACGGCCGCCCCAGCCCCUCCGCAUGCCACGCCCAGCCCUCGGAUAGGAACUGC